RNAcentral lists this ribosomal RNA (200 nucleotides) under Melaloncha pilula. Its description in RNAcentral is "partial 28S ribosomal RNA". The record is from RNAcentral. Lineage: Eukaryota; Metazoa; Arthropoda; Insecta; Diptera; Phoridae.
CCAUAUAAGGACAUUGUAAUCUGUUAAUGUUUAAAUGCGUAUUAUAAGAUCUUUUACAAUAGUUUAUUCAUUAUUUAAUUUAUUAAAUAUGAUUAAAUGUGAAAGUUUCGAAUAUGCCAUUGACAGAUUUUUAUAUAUAUUGUACUUAAAUCUUUUUGGAUUUUAUAAUAAUAUAAUUAUCGUAGAUUUUUAUAUUUAUU